UGGGCCCUUAGGGAGGGGGUCUCCCGGACGCCUGGGCCCCUGGUGGGCGCAGUAUCCCCCGGACGCCUGGGCCCCUGGGGCGGGCGCGGGUGCCUCCCGGACGCCUGGGCCCCUCCCGGACGCCUGGGCCCCGCAGAUCCCGGCGGCGCUGGUGCCGCACUACUGCGAGCUGGUGGCGGCCGAGCCCGGCGCCCGGCCCGGCCCUGCCCAGCUGCUGCAGCGCUGCCGCCGCCCCGGCGCCUUCCUCGACUCCGACUUCGUCGCCACCAACCUCUUCCUCGAGGAGAUCCAGAUCAAGGACGCGGCCGAGCGCCACGAGUUCCUGCAGGGCCUCGGCCGCCGCCUCGACGCCUUCCCGGCCGCCUUCUGCCGCCACAAGGUGCUGCCGCAGCUGCUGACGGCCGUGGAGUUCGGCAGCGCCGGCGCCGCCGUCCUCCCGCCCCUCUUCAAGGCGGGGAGGCUGCUGGAGCCGCCCGAGUACCAGGAGCGCAUCGUCCCCGUCAUCGUCAAGCUCUUCUCGUCCCCCGACCGGGCCCUGCGCAUCCGCCUCCUGCAGCAGGUAGGCGCCGGGGCGGCGCGCGCCCGGACGCCUGGGCCCUGCCCGCAAGGUCCCCCC
Molecule: long non-coding RNA, 616 nt
Filed under: Apteryx owenii (little spotted kiwi)
Lineage: Eukaryota; Metazoa; Chordata; Aves; Apterygiformes; Apterygidae
Description: lncRNA (ENSAOWG00000004997.1)
Source: RNAcentral